This 405-nucleotide ribosomal RNA is filed under the name uncultured bacterium. RNAcentral's name for it is "bacterial SSU rRNA". It matches the Rfam family "Bacterial small subunit ribosomal RNA", at positions 355 to 776 of the family's 1533-position model. The record is from RNAcentral.
UUAGGAAUCUUGCGCAAUGGGCGAAAGCCUGACGCAGCAACGCCGCGUGGGGGAUGAAGGCUCUCGGGUUGUAAACCCCUUUCAGCAGGGACGAUUAUGACGGUACCUGCAGAAGAAGGACCGGCCAACUACGUGCCAGCAGCCGCGGUAAUACGUAGGGUCCGAGCGUUGUCCGGAUUUAUUGGGCGUAAAGAGCUCGUAGGCGGUUCAGUAAGUCGGAUGUGAAAACUCAGGGCUCAACCCUGAGACGCCAUCCGAUACUGCUGUGACUUGAGUCUGGUAGGGGAGAACGGAAUUCCAGGUGUAGCGGUGAAAUGCGCAGAUAUCUGGAGGAACACCGAUGGCGAAGGCAGUUCUCUGGGCCAGUACUGACGCUGAGGAGCGAAAGCGUGGGGAGCAAACAGG